Molecule: ribosomal RNA, 501 nt
Filed under: uncultured bacterium
Lineage: Bacteria
Description: bacterial SSU rRNA
Rfam family: Bacterial small subunit ribosomal RNA
Source: RNAcentral
CGAACGUUAGCGGCGCGCCUAACACAUGCAAGUCGCACGAGAAAGGGAGCUAAUCCCCGGUACAGUGGCGCACGGGUGAGUAACACGUAGAUGACCUUCCCUGGGAGUGGUGGAUAACCUGCCGAAAGGCGGGCUAAUACAGCAUGGGACCACAUCGGUUUUUGACCGAGUGGUGAAAGCGGGCCUCUGUUCACAAGCUCGCGCUCUGGGAUGGGUCUGCGUCCCAUCAGCUAGUUGGUGAGGUAAUGGCUCACCAAGGCAUCGACGGGUAGCUGGUCUGAGAGGAUGACCAGCCACACUGGAACUGAGACACGGUCCAGACUCCUACGGGAGGCAGCAGUGGGGAAUCUUGCGCAAUGGGCGAAAGCCUGACGCAGCGACGCCGCGUGGGUGAUGAAGGCCUUCGGGUUGUAAAGCCCUGUGGGGAGGAACGAACCGUACGGGGGCGAACACCCUCCGUACCUGACGGUACCUCCUUAGCAAGCAUCGGCUAACUCUGUG